AACCCUAUAAUACUAUGAAUAUGGAUUGAGGUAAUUAACAAAUGUUCUAUUAUCAAAGAACUUAUCCACAUAUUCAAAAGGUGAUUCAUGGUCAGAAAGCAAUCUUAGUAGGGUUUUUUAUAUUUUGUUCAGAAAGCAAAGUUACUGUAAAUAUAUCAAUUAUUGUGAGGUACUCCUGGGGUAUUGUGAGGUACUCCUGGGGUAUUGCAAUGAUAAAGAGCGUGCAUUUUGUAAUCUGGUACAUAUUUCUGUAUGCGGUGUUAUUUAAAAUUGCAAUAAUUGAACUUGCAUUUUUGUUCAUUUUUCAUCAAUCUCAUUAAUUUCUGAAUUUAGUUACAUUGAAAAGUACCCUUAAUUUAUACUUUUCCCAUGAUCAUAAGAGAGGUGUAUCAUAUGAGGGGGGAUAGGAGGGGUCCUGAUCCAGAAAUCCCAUGCCUCAAAACCUGAAAUCUCGAAAUCCUGGGCUUAAAAACAUGAAAAUCUGAGGUCCCGAAAUUCGAAAAAAAGAAUUCCCGGAUCCUGAAAGGGUCAACCCCGAAAAAUCCCACGCUUGAAAACACCCGAUCCCGGAGUCCCGAUAAAGGUCCUAUUCCCCUAUUCAUAUGAAAUGCAUUUUGAAAGUGAGAAAAAGAAGACAACUCCAUAUUAUAAGGUAUAUUCCAUUGUAACUUCAUGUCAAUUUUCCUUCAUGACCAGGCAAUACGUGAAGAAUAAUAAUUCACUUCAUGAUGUACACCAAUGAAUUUGUGAAAUAUCAAAUAUAAAUAUGAGUAGCUUUUUGUUAGUUGAAUCAUAUUUCAUAAAUUGCAUGAUUGAUAUAUGGAAAGCUACAUAAGAAAA
RNAcentral lists this long non-coding RNA (840 nucleotides) under Mytilus galloprovincialis (Mediterranean mussel). The record is from RNAcentral. Lineage: Eukaryota; Metazoa; Mollusca; Bivalvia; Mytilida; Mytilidae.